UCGAGCUUGAGGAAGAGGCCCCAUUCAUCUCCGUACCCCAGGCCCUGGUACACAGCAGGCAGAUAAACCUGCCAGUAAUUUCAGCAAAUGAAACGUGGAACACGUCAAGGCCAGAGGAUGGAAAAGGCUCCAGUUUUGAUAAAAGGAGGCCUGCUUGGCUUGGAAUCCUCUCUCCUGCUGGUUGGGAGAUGCAAAGAUGUUUCCAGAGAGGGGCUGAUGAAUUGAGGGGAAAGAAAUGAGCCCAGUAUGAGUCCCCUUUCAGGGCUGAGCGGGUAUAAAACCAAACAACUUGGAACCGCUCCAAGAGAGGGGAUUAAAGCAACAUGUUAUUCUGAGUGAUUGCUUAAUUUAUUGAGCUGCGGCUGGAUCUGUAAUGAAAUACAGCCCUUGUAACUGAUAACCUCCUGCUGCCAUUGAACUU
This 421-nucleotide long non-coding RNA is filed under the name Pan troglodytes (chimpanzee). Its description in RNAcentral is "long non-coding RNA NONPTRT005935". The record is from RNAcentral. Lineage: Eukaryota; Metazoa; Chordata; Mammalia; Primates; Hominidae.